This 492-nucleotide ribosomal RNA is filed under the name uncultured bacterium. RNAcentral describes it as "partial 16S ribosomal RNA". It matches the Rfam family "Bacterial small subunit ribosomal RNA", at positions 29 to 507 of the family's 1533-position model. The record is from RNAcentral.
AGUGAACGCUGGCGGUAGGCCUAACACAUGCAAGUCGAACGGCAGCACAGUAAGAGUUUGCUCUUACGGGUGGCGAGUGGCGGACGGGUGAGGAAUACAUCGGAAUCUACUUUUUCGUGGGGGAUAACGUAGGGAAACUUACGCUGAUACCGCAUACGACCUACGGGUGAAAGCAGUGGAUCUUCGGACCUUGCGCGGUUGAAUGAGCCGAUGUCGGAUUAGCUAGUUGGGGGGGUAAAGGCCCACCAAGGCGACGAUCCGUAGCUGGUCUGAGAGGAUAAUCAGCCACACUGGAACUGAGACACGGUCCAGACUCCUACGGGAGGCAGCAGUGGGGAAUAUUGGACAAUGGGCGCAAGCCUGAUCCAGCCAUGCCGCGUGGGUGAAGAAGGCCUUCGGGUUGUAAAGCCCUUUUGUUGGGAAAGAAAAGCAGCAGGUUAAUACCCCGCUGUUCUGACGGUACCCAAAGAAUAAGCACCGGCUAACUUCGUG